AGGACGAACGCUGGCGGCGUGCUUAACACAUGCAAGUCGAACGGUGACCUCGGUGCUUGCACCGGGUGAUCAGUGGCGAACGGGUGAGUAACACGUGAGUAACCUGCCCCAGACUCUGGGAUAACCCCGAGAAAUCGGAGCUAAUCCCGGAUACGAGACGCACAGGCAUCUGUGGCGUCUGGAAAGAUUUCGGUCUGGGAUGGACUCGCGGCCUAUCAGCUAGUUGGCGAGGUAACGGCCCACCAAGGCGACGAC
This 255-nucleotide ribosomal RNA is filed under the name uncultured soil bacterium. RNAcentral's name for it is "partial 16S ribosomal RNA". It matches the Rfam family "Bacterial small subunit ribosomal RNA", at positions 26 to 280 of the family's 1533-position model. The record is from RNAcentral.